Molecule: non-coding RNA, 2510 nt
Organism: Varroa destructor (honeybee mite)
Lineage: Eukaryota; Metazoa; Arthropoda; Arachnida; Mesostigmata; Varroidae
Source: RefSeq, a predicted model, not a curated record
GUUCAUUUUCUUGCUUGAGGACUCUUGCGCAAAUAUAGCUUUGACGAUGCCACGUCAUGUCCCAAUGUGUUAUUGUAUAUUAAUAUUAUUUCGCAGUGAAGUGAACAAAUCAGUUGCAGCAGUCAUGAAGCACAUACUUAAAUCAUGUUUUUCAAAUCUACGACUCGACGCUUCCAGUUCUACUGCUAAUAAAAAAAAGGGUGUGACGUAACCCAGGAUCGUCGAGAGGGCACCCGGCAAAGAGACAAGCUUGACGCCCACUCUAAUCAAAGUCAAAGUUUCAGCAUCUGUAUUAGUUUUAAGGUUAGCUAAAUGGCACAAGGAACAAACGUUCGUGGACCGGUUCGGAUAUUUCAUACGUUCAACAUCUUUUGCAUGGCUAUCUUGCAGGGCUUGGUACUAUCGGUGUUUGGUCCGUCAAUGCUUGAUCUGGCUGAGUUGUUUCACUCUGAUAUUGAGCACGUAUCCUAUCUUGCAUCGACCACAACCAUCGGCGCUCUGAUUGGCUGCGCUGCUGCGCGUUGGUUGUACGAACUUCUGCACGCUCAAAAAGUGAUCAUCGCUGGCGUUCUUCUUAAAGGCCUUUCAAACGCUAUUCUCCCGCUAACAGGCUCAUUGCCUUGUGCCCAUCUUACGUCACUUAUUUUUGGAUUGGCUAGCGGAUUUCUCGAAAUCGGUACUUACGUCUGGCUGGUCGGCCUUUACCCGACGAGCAGAAGUAGUGCCGCGGUGCUACAAACGUACCAUCUCAUGUUUGGGCUAGGUAGCCUGCUUGGCUCAGUAUUGGUUCGACCUUUCGUGAAUCCACAUAGUCAUUUGACAGGAACGACUCAAGCUAUGACUAUGACAACUAGUGAAUCUCGGAUUCAUGUGGCUUACGUUCUCGUCGGGCUAUUUGCAGUUGCCUUGGCUGUAUCACUCUCCAUUAGCUAUCGCAUUGAUCCUCGUGAUGUUCGACAUCGCCGAUCAAACUCCGAUGAUGAGACCUCUAUUGAUCCUCUUGCUAAGUACGAUUCGCGCGACGUUACUGGGCUUUCAAGCGCCAAUCAGGAGACUUUAAGCAACAGAAAGCUGUCUAUGUUCCUGUCGUUUCUAGUCGGUGUGCACUGUCUCAUUUUCCUCGUUAUUCUAAUGUGCUUCUCCCGCUAUUUUUCCAUAUACGCAGUCCUACAGGGCAUUUCGAAAGAUCGCAGUAUAGUGCUGAUAUCGACUUUCUACAUUAGUUUCACAUUUACGCGACUUAUCUGCAUUUACCCAGCAUCUAAGUUGCAGCCGAAGGUAUUUUGGAUCCUCACGGACUUGGCGCUCCUUACUACUGCCUCGAUGCUUUUCGUAACAGGCAGCGGUUCGGAGCGAACCCUACACAUGACAGCCGUGCUUCUCGGAGCGGCUUGUGCACCGGUCUACGCUGCUGGCACGUCAUUUCUUGUAAGUCGCGUUAAUGGCCUCACGCAUAGUCACAUGUCGAUUUUGAAAUUCAUGUCGAACUGCGGAGGACUUGUACCACCGUUUGCCGUGGGACCAAUGAUUGAGACUGCACCCGAGAUCUUCCCCAAGGUGGUACUUGUGAGCACAUUUCUUCUCGUCACUGUGAUGGCCUUCGUUAUCUCAAUCGGCAGUUGGCCUCAAGGGGAGCACGUAAUCGAGGCUGUGAUCAGUACAAGCGUACCAUGCCCUGCUAUAACGAAACAAACUAUCGGACGUUAUAUAAAAUAUUUUAAGAAAACUAACACAAAUGUCCUCUGAGUAUGUACCUAACGUUUCCAGCACUCUCCAAUUAUCAAAAUUUGAAUUGCGGCAUAAACGCUUAUCAUUAAUUAAAAUUGGUUUCGACGAUAGUACAAUCAAGCCCAUUAGUAUUUUCUGUUUCAUGUGGGGACGACCAAUUUUACCUGUAUCUAGAUAAUGGCCAUGUAUGACCACAGCAGAUACUGGCUACUUCUCAUUGCAAAAAUGUUGUUCGAUGAUGAUUAUGAUGUAGCAUGAUUGUGCAAUUAUGAUAAAAACAACAAAAAUUCAACGCCAUAUUGCUCGAACGCAUCAUUUUGAUCUUUAUUUAUUUGUUAUGUAGAGGGCGUUAUUAGCGCGUGAGCGGUCUGCUCGAAUAGCUUCUAAAACUAGCCGAACGACUGAAGAAUUAGAAUAGAGUGAUUAGAAAAUGUCCCUAUUCUGAUUCUCCAGUGAACAAAGCGAGGCAAUUUUAGGGAUCAUUGGCAAGAUUUGUAACGUUUACACCGGGUGUGAUAGCUAAUUGUGCGAGCAAUGUGUUGAAGGCGCUGCGUUGAUUAGGCUGUAGGUGCGUCUCUGCCAGUCGGCUUUCUGAUACGUUAACAUGUAAGAAGCAGCAGUUCUACAUCAUGUAAAUAAAGACACCGCAGAAGUUGCCAUCAUCAUUACAAUGCAAAGAACCCCUGCGAGAGCCACGAUAAAGGCGUAAAAUGCUCAUAUAUACAUGGUUAUAUACCUGAAUGAAAUGACCCUAAAUAGACAGGGCAAGUUCGACCUACCUU